This 338-nucleotide long non-coding RNA is filed under the name Daucus carota (carrot). RNAcentral's name for it is "long non-coding RNA (DCAR_LNC000872)". The record is from RNAcentral. Lineage: Eukaryota; Viridiplantae; Streptophyta; Magnoliopsida; Apiales; Apiaceae.
UUGGAGAAAGUGAGCUUCUUCAGGGCAAAAUUAGCGAAGGUCCCAGCACCAGGGGUCAAGUCCACAACCUUACCGUGGUCCUUCAACUGAGGCUCGAAUGUAGUGAAAGGAAUACCUGUGGUGCAAUUGAUAACAGCAUCGUAUUUCUUGCCUGAAGGGCUUAUGAGAGCUGCUCCCUCUGGGGUCCUGUAGUCGAUAACCUCAUCCGCACCUAGGCUCUUGACGAAAUCAAAGUUGCGAGCUCCACAAGUUGCAGUUACAUGGAUGUUACCCAACUUUGCCAGUUGUACAGCAUAGUGACCUACACCUCCUGAUGCAGCUGUUACAAGGACAUUAGC